This 1376-nucleotide ribosomal RNA is filed under the name uncultured bacterium. RNAcentral describes it as "bacterial SSU rRNA". It matches the Rfam family "Bacterial small subunit ribosomal RNA". The record is from RNAcentral.
AGAGUUUGAUCCUGGCUCAGGAUGAACGCUGGCGGCGUGCCUAACACAUGCAAGUCGAACGGACGAGAGGAGCUUGCUCCUCAAGUUAGUGGCGGACGGGUGAGUAAUGCGUGAGCAACCUGCCUUUCAGAGGGGGACAACAGUUGGAAACGACUGCUAAUACCGCAUAAUGUGCGUUGGAGGCAUCUUCGACGUACCAAAGGAGCAAUCCGCUGAAAGAUGGGCUCACGUCUGAUUAGUUUGUUGGUGAGGUAACGGCUCACCAAGACUGCGAUCAGUAGCCGGACUGAGAGGUUGAACGGCCACAUUGGGACUGAGAUACGGCCCAGACUCCUACGGGAGGCAGCAGUGGGGAAUAUUGGGCAAUGGGCGAAAGCCUGACCCAGCAACGCCGCGUGAAGGAAGAAGGCUUUCGGGUUGUAAACUUCUUUUACCAGGGACGAAGAAAGUGACGGUACCUGGAGAAAAAGCCACGGCUAACUACGUGCCAGCAGCCGCGGUAAUACGUAGGUGGCAAGCGUUGUCCGGAUUUACUGGGUGUAAAGGGCGUGUAGGCGGAGAUUCAAGUCAGAAGUGAAAUCUAUGGGCUUAACUCAUAAACUGCUUUUGAAACUGAAUCCCUUGAGUAUCGGAGAGGCAGGCGGAAUUCCUAGUGUAGCGGUGAAAUGCGUAGAUAUUAGGAGGAACACCAGUGGCGAAGGCGGCUUGCUGGACGAUGACUGACGUUGAGGCUCGAAAGCGUGGGGAGCAAACAGGAUUAGAUACCCUGGUAGUCCACGCCGUAAACGAUGACUACUAGGUGUCGGGUACCACAGGUAUUCGGUGCCGCCGCAAACGCAUUAAGUAGUCCACCUGUGGAGUACGUACGCAAGUAUGAAACUCAAAGGAAUUGACGGGGGCCCGCACAAGCGGAGGAGCAUGUGGUUUAAUUCGAUGAUACGCGAGGAACCUUACCCGGGCUUGAACGUAAGACGAAGAUACAGGAAACUGUAUCGCCUUCGGGCGUUUUGCGAGGUGCUGCAUGGUUGUCGUCAGCUCGUGCCGUGAGGUGUUAGGUUAAGUCCUGCAACGAGCGCAACCCUUACCUUCAGUUGCCAGCACGUAAUGGUGGGGACUCUGGAGGAACUGCCUACGCAAGUAGAGAGGAAGGUGGGGAUGACGUCAAAUCAGCACGGCCCUUAUGUUCGGGGCUACACACGUGCUACAAUGGCGUGUACAGAGGGCAGCUACCCCGCGAGGGGAUGCCAAUCCUCAAAGCACGUCUCAGUUCGGAUUGGAGUCUGUAACUCGACUCUAUGAAGUUGGAUUCGCUAGUAAUCGCGCAUCAGCCAUGGCGCGGUGAAUACGUUCCCGGGCCUUGCACUCACAGCCCGUCA